Molecule: long non-coding RNA, 513 nt
Filed under: Ananas comosus (pineapple)
Lineage: Eukaryota; Viridiplantae; Streptophyta; Magnoliopsida; Poales; Bromeliaceae
Description: long non-coding RNA (ACOM_LNC035343)
Source: RNAcentral
UUUUUUUUUUUUGAAAAAAAUUUCAAAUACCACCUUUCAUAGUAUUAUAUUUAUAUACUUUAAAGUAUAUCAAUUUUAUACCCUAUAGCUUUAAUUUAUAUUUUUAUUAUUUCCGCACUAUUUUUUUUUUGUUAAAUCAAUGAGAGAGUUAAAACUAAAAUAUACUAAAGUGAAUAUUCAAUAAAUCUAGGUGGAAGUAUCUGAAGUUUUUUAUAUAUAAUUUAACGAAAUGUUAACAGAAGAACUGACAAAAAGAAAAAAAUGAAAUCACAGAGUACUAAAUUGAUACACUUUAAAUCACAUAAUACUAAAGUAAGAAAGUGCGAAAUCAUAUGAGUGGUAUUUAAAGUUUACAUUAUUUUUUUUUGGCUUUUGGCAAUUUCAGUGGCAUUCCUCAAAUUUUAAAAAUAUAUUUAGAACAGUUAAUGUCGAUAUUAUUUUUAUAAAUUUAUAAAAGUAAUUAAUUUGUUUGAAUUUUAUUAGAAUUACGAUAUAAUAAAAAAAAUGUAUUUG